Molecule: non-coding RNA, 1888 nt
Organism: Gasterosteus aculeatus aculeatus (three-spined stickleback)
Lineage: Eukaryota; Metazoa; Chordata; Actinopteri; Perciformes; Gasterosteidae
Source: RefSeq, a predicted model, not a curated record
CCCCCACUCCCCAUUUUCACUCCACAGCUGGUAUGCUGUCUUUGUAUGCCUGCCCUCCUUCCCUUGUCUUUUUUUAUACGUGUUGGUGUCAUCGCGCCCACUUUCCCUUUCGCUCCCCUCUUCCUCACUCUCUUACCCUCCACUUCCUCCCCCUUCCGGACAUGGCGUGAACAUAUGUCUUCUUCCCCACCCUUCCACUCGUUGGGCGUCUUUUACCUCUUUUCAUCCUGAUACUUCCUCUCCUCCUCUCCUGCUUGCGUGAGUUGGUCCUCAACUGCCCCCCCGAACCUCCGUCCCUCUGUCUUCUCUCUGUUGUUCAGUCUCUCCCCCCACACACACUUAUUAUCUUUCUGCAUGUGUUGUACAUAUGCACGUGCAUGGAUCUGCUGAUGUGUGCAUUCUUUUUUCUCAAAGUGUGUGUGUGUGCGCACAUUUACUUAUAUGUGACGUAACUCUGAUUUGUGUGCUUCCCAAAGUGUUGACAUGAUUGCAUAACCCAACACUGAGCAGUACACACACAUAUACAUCAAUAUAUACAGUACGUAGGAAUGAAAACCAAACGCGAAUGGAAGAGGAAAUGUCUUAUUUUUGUUCAUUUUACCUAUAAUCAGCCAGCUCCACUGCUUUGACACACACACACACACACACACACAUGCACAAACUCGGGCAGACACACAGAUGAGAGCAAAGCGGUUUCUGGGUAAAUCCUCAGUACUCUCAUUACUGCGCCCAGAUAGAAUACGAAGACGAACAGAGCAGAGCCACAGGAGGAUGGAGGCGGGACGUCUUCAUGCGGUAAAGACGGGCACGCCGUUGGACCAAUGGGCUCUCACGCAGACAUGGACGCGCUGUGAGACAACAGAACAAUGAAACUGCAAGGCACUUGCCUGUAGAGCAGUCUCACGUCUUUGGCAUUGUUGUCUUUGUGUGGGUUUGGUAAGUCUGAGGCUGAGGCCUGCCACUCAUCAAUGGCUGAUCAAAUUAGUCUCAACUAAAUUAUUGUGACAAUAUUGUGAUGCUGUUGUGAAAACAUGUCAUCGCCUCAUGUCAUCGCCAUAUUUUGAAGAUGCAGAACAAACACCAAAUGUUAGACAAUUUAUUUGAAUAAACGCAACUUUAAAUAACCUUUGAAAAGAGUGAAAUUAGGAGUUGCCAGAUGAACCACAGAGGCUUUUAAAAUAGUUGGACAAGCAAAGUCAUCCUUGAUUAACCACAACAAGAACCUGUUUUACAGAUUAUAGCGAUUAAGAGGAAGCACAAUUGAACCUGACCUUGUUUAAUUAAUCUCUCUUUGAUUCAAUUCCAUGAAUAAAUACAGUUUUAUCAGGAUCUAUUCAUCAAAUUCCCAAUCAAGAAACAAGAAGUGAGUUCGAAAACAUUACGUAGAAGUCAAUCAACUCUGAUUUUCAGUACACUCCGUUGUACGCAGUGUUUUGUUUUGCGCACGGGCCGCAUUGACGUAGAAACCAGACACGUGACAUGCGUGUCUGGAGGUCUGAAACACAUCGAACGCACCCGUAAAAUAAAGUUACCGUUAUGCUCACAGCUGCACGGCGCGCGCUCCAAUCACGAACCCUGACGCGUUAUGGACGCUAGCUUGCCUACGAGCAUUUUUAAUAGUCAAAAGAAAACUUUUCGAGACGACGCUGGAUUUCUGUCACCUUUUUUUUCUGAACCGCAUGUGAUGAAAUGUGACGUUCAAUGGCGACUUUGUCAAUGCUCAGAAGCCCCUCGUUCGCCCCAGCAGGAUGCGAGGAGAGAGGACUGCAAGCCCUAAAGCACUCAAACUCAGGACCCGCCCUCCCCAGAGGCCCAUCGUGAAGUCCGCCCACUCACCAGUAAACUCCCUAAACUCCUGGAACACCUUCGGGUACAUGGCGGCGGACAU